ACUGUUGUAUUGUUGUAUGCUAAUAAUAAUAUAUCUUCAAGAGGUAAAUCUUGACCUUACAUUGGCGCCACAGAUUUAUCGGAAGAUAUUUGACAUGUAAAAUUUUUGAGGAAAAAAAAGUAAUUUACACAAUAUUCUUGUCCUAGGCUUUGUGUACUAGUACAGUUUGUUAAGCAUAGUAAACCGAGUGGUAAAGUGCCGUGUAGAGAAUAUAUUCCCUUGAAAUAUUUUACAUCAAAUGAGACUUUUGAGCCAGUAUGUGUUGUGAGUUGUGAUGGAGAUGGUUCAGGUGUCAUUUUGAAACUAGUAGAAGAGAUAAAGUAGUACAAAUACGCUUUCUAAGAACUCAGCAAAACGUGCAUCAAGUUUAUUAAAUUCCGUAACUGAGAAAUCAAGAAAAUGUAGAUUAUCUAUAGUGCCAGAAAAGAAGGUUGAUAUUGGACAAUUCUGAUGUCAUCAAAUAGCAACCUCAUUAGGUACACCUGUUCAACUGCUCGUUAACGCAAAUAUCUAAUCAGCCAGUCACAUGGCAGCAACUCAACGCAUUUAGCCAUGUAGACAAGGUGAAGACGAGCUGCUGGAGUUAAAAGCGAGCAUCAGAUUGAGGAAAGAAGGUGAUUUAAGUGACUUUGAACAUGGCAUGGUUGUUGGUCUGAGUAUUUCACAAACUGAUGAUCUAACAACCAUCUCUAGGGUUUACAGAAAAUGGUCUGAAAAAGAGAAAAUAUCCAGUCUGCAGAAGAGCAUCUCUGAACACACAACAUGUACCACCUUGAAGCAGAUGGACUACAGCAGCAGAAGAAUUAAGUGGCCGGGGAAAAUACCGGCUGCUGUGGUUACCAGAACUUCACCAUAAAAAAUACAG
This is a long non-coding RNA of Centropristis striata (black sea bass), 865 nucleotides long. RefSeq lists it as uncharacterized. The record is from RefSeq and is a predicted model, not a curated record. The transcript is spliced from 3 exons. NCBI's taxonomy places the organism in Eukaryota, Metazoa, Chordata, Actinopteri, Perciformes, Serranidae.